This 774-nucleotide ribosomal RNA is filed under the name uncultured bacterium. Its description in RNAcentral is "bacterial SSU rRNA". It matches the Rfam family "Bacterial small subunit ribosomal RNA", at positions 8 to 792 of the family's 1533-position model. The record is from RNAcentral.
AGAGUUUGAUCAUGGCUCAGGAUGAACGCUGGCGGCGUGCUUAACACAUGCAAGUCGAACGGAAAGGCCCAAGCUUGCUUGGGUACUCGAGUGGCGAACGGGUGAGUAACACGUGGGUGAUCUGCCCUGCACUUCGGGAUAAGCCUGGGAAACUGGGUCUAAUACCGGAUAGGACGAUGGUUUGGAUGCCAUUGUGGAAAGUUUUUUCGGUGUGGGAUGAGCUCGCGGCCUAUCAGCUUGUUGGUGGGGUAAUGGCCUACCAAGGCGUCGACGGGUAGCCGGCCUGAGAGGGUGUACGGCCACAUUGGGACUGAGAUACGGCCCAGACUCCUACAGGAGGCAGCAGUGGGGAAUAUUGCACAAUGGGCGCAAGCCUGAUGCAGCGACGCCGCGUGGGGGAUGACGGCCUUCGGGUUGUAAACUCCGUUCGCUAGGGACGAAGCGUUUUUGUGACGGUACCUGGAGAAGAAGCACCGGCUAACUACGUGCCAGCAGCCGCGGUAAUACGUAGGGUGCGAGCGUUGUCCGGAAUUACUGGGCGUAAAGAGCUCGUAGGUGGUUUGUCGCGUCGUUUGUGUAAGCCCGCAGCUUAACUGCGGGACUGCAGGCGAUACGGGCAUAACUUGAGUGCUGUAGGGGAGACUGGAAUUCCUGGUGUAGCGGUGGAAUGCGCAGAUAUCAGGAGGAACACCGAUGGCGAANGCAGGUCUCUGGGCAGUAACUGACGCUGANGAGCGAAAGCAUGGGUAGCGAACAGGAUUAGAUACCCCGGUA